GGGAUAAGGUACCGGUACCUGAUGUUUUUAAACUAACAAUUGUACAGAUUUCAAUAAAAUAUGAUAAAUUAAAAGAAAAAUAAAAAAAAUAAAAAAAAAAAAAUAAUUUGAUUCAUUAUUUCGAACAUGUCACAGAUUUCCGGUGAAGGAACUGCACCAAUUAUUUGCCGUACCUAUUAUUUCCUGAUCCCAUAAAAAGAUAGUACAUUGUACAAACUUGUCUGUACAUAGUAUUAUCUUUUACCCAGAAGUAAAACAACAA
This 262-nucleotide long non-coding RNA is filed under the name Mytilus galloprovincialis (Mediterranean mussel). Lineage: Eukaryota; Metazoa; Mollusca; Bivalvia; Mytilida; Mytilidae. The record is from RNAcentral.